AGAGUUGAUCAUGGCUCAGGAUGAACGCUGGCGGCGUGCCUAACACAUGCAAGUCGAACGGAGUUACGAGAGCUUGCUUUGUAACUUAGUGGCGGACGGGUGAGUAAUGUAUGAGCAACCUGCCUUUCAGAGGGGGACAACAGUUGGAAACGACUGCUAAUACCGCAUAAUGUAUUUUGAGGGCAUCCUCGGGAUACCAAAGGAGCAAUCCGCUGAAAGAUGGGCUCAUAUCUGAUUAGCUAGUUGGUGGGGUAACGGCUCACCAAGGCUGCGAUCAGUAGCCGGACUGAGAGGUUGAACGGCCACAUUGGGACUGAGAUACGGCCCAGACUCCUACGGGAGGCAGCAGUGGGGAAUAUUGGGGACCAAGUGGGGGCAACCCUGACCCAGCGACGCCGCGGUGGGGAAGACGGCCUUCGGGUUGUAAACCUCUUUUGUACGGGAAGAAGGAAGUGACGGUACUGUACGAAUAAGUCCCGGCUAACUACGUGCCAGCAGCAGC
Molecule: ribosomal RNA, 502 nt
Filed under: uncultured bacterium
Lineage: Bacteria
Description: bacterial SSU rRNA
Rfam family: Bacterial small subunit ribosomal RNA
Source: RNAcentral